AGAGCUUGCUCUCGUGUGACGAGUGGCGGACGGGUGAGUAAUGUCUGGGAAACUGCCUGAUGGAGGGGGAUAACUACUGGAAACGGUAGUUAAUACCGCAUAACGUCGCAGGACCAAAGAGGGGGACCUUCGGGCCUCUGCCAUCAGAUGUGCCCAGAUGGGAUUAGCUAGUAUGUGGGGUAACGGCUCACCUAGGCGACCAUCCCUAGCUGGUCUGAGAGGAUGACCAGCCACACUGGAACUGACACACGGUCCUCACUCCUACGGGAGGCAGCAGGGGAAUAUUGCACAAUGGGCGCAAGCCUGAUGCAUGCAUGCCGCGUGUAUGAAGAAGGCCUUCGGGUUGUAAAGUACUUUCAGCGGGGAGGAAGGUGUUGUGGUUAAUACCGCAGCAAUUGACGUUACCCGCAAAAGAAGCACCGGCUAACUCCGUGCCAGCAGCCGCGGUAAUACGGGAGGGUGCAAGCGUUAAUCGGAAUUACUGGGCGUAAAGCGCACGCAGGCGGUCUGUCAAGUCGGAUGUGAAAUCCCCGUGCUCAACCUGGGAACUGCAUUCGAAACUGAGCAGGCUAUAGUCUUGUAGGAGGGGGGGUAUUAAUCUCCAGGUGUAGUCGGAUGAAAUGCGAUAGUAGAUCUGGAAGGACAUACU
RNAcentral lists this ribosomal RNA (649 nucleotides) under Enterobacter cloacae. Its description in RNAcentral is "bacterial SSU rRNA". It matches the Rfam family "Bacterial small subunit ribosomal RNA", at positions 75 to 712 of the family's 1533-position model. Lineage: Bacteria; Pseudomonadati; Pseudomonadota; Gammaproteobacteria; Enterobacterales; Enterobacteriaceae. The record is from RNAcentral.